This 23-nucleotide non-coding RNA is filed under the name Arabidopsis thaliana (thale cress). The record is from RNAcentral. Lineage: Eukaryota; Viridiplantae; Streptophyta; Magnoliopsida; Brassicales; Brassicaceae.
CAAACUGUCAUCGUCCGUACUGC